This 254-nucleotide ribosomal RNA is filed under the name uncultured bacterium. Its description in RNAcentral is "partial 16S ribosomal RNA". It matches the Rfam family "Bacterial small subunit ribosomal RNA", at positions 524 to 776 of the family's 1533-position model. The record is from RNAcentral.
UACGUAGGGUGCAAGCGUUAAUCGGAAUUACUGGGCGUAAAGCGUGCGCAGGCGGUUUUGUAAGUCUGAUGUGAAAUCCCCGGGCUCAACCUGGGAAUUGCAUUGGAGACUGCAAGGCUAGAAUCUGGCAGAGGGGGGUAGAAUUCCACGUGUAGCAGUGAAAUGCGUAGAUAUGUGGAGGAAUACCGAUGGCGAAGGCAGCCCCCUGGGAUAACACUGACGCUCCAUGCACGAAAGCGUGGGGAGCAAACAGG